CAAUAGCGUAUAUUAAAGUUGUUGUGGUUAAAAAAGCUCGUAGUUGGAUUUCUGUCUAGGGUGGCCGGUGCCCACUAUGUGAAGCAUCUGGUUCAGUCUGGGCAUCCUCUUGGGGAUCGUUUCCGUGCUUGAUUGCAUGGGGCGGAAUUCAAGACUUUUACUUUGAGGAAAAUUAGAGUGUUCACGGCAAGCUUUCGCUUUGAAUACAUUAGCAUGGAAUAAUAAUAUAGGGCGUAAGUUCUAUUUUGUUGGUUUCUAGAACAUACGCAAUGAUUAAUAGGGAUAAUUGGGGCGACUCGUAUUAACACGUCAGAGGUGGAAUUCUUAGAUUGUGUUACGACGAACUACUGCGAAAGCAUUUGCCAAGGAUGUUUUCAUUGAUCAAGAACGAAAGUAUGGGGAUCGAAGAUGAUUAGAU
Molecule: ribosomal RNA, 418 nt
Filed under: uncultured eukaryote
Lineage: Eukaryota
Description: SSU rRNA
Rfam family: Eukaryotic small subunit ribosomal RNA
Source: RNAcentral